This is a long non-coding RNA of Oryzias melastigma (Indian medaka), 1252 nucleotides long. RefSeq lists it as uncharacterized. The record is from RefSeq and is a predicted model, not a curated record. The transcript is spliced from 2 exons. NCBI's taxonomy places the organism in Eukaryota, Metazoa, Chordata, Actinopteri, Beloniformes, Adrianichthyidae.
CUCUAGCAAAGAAAAUAGUUAUUUUAAGAAGUUCUAUCAAAACUCAGUGAAUCAGUGUUCGCUUCGCAUCAUAUCAUUAUGCAGAGAAAUAAGCUCAAAUUUGAUCUUUAAGAUGGAGAGUACACGACAAAAAAUUCUGUCAGAUGCUUUACAGAGGAGAGUCAAUGUAAGGCUUCUAAUGUCAUAAUGCAGAUUUUGCCUGAUACAAAACUGACUUUCAAAUGGAUCCAGUGCACAAAGCCACACGGCCAUAAUAUGUAACUAGGAGUAAUGACACUUUAUGAUAGAGAUAAUUAACAUUUGAUCCCAAUUAUACUCUAUACAUUUUCAAAUUUCAUGACAAAAAUUUCCAAUUUAUCUUAACAGAUUUGCUAGAAAUGGCUCUUCAGUUUUUGGCACUAAAAGCUGAAGUUUAGCCAAUUGCCUUAAACUUAUAUUUUUUUUAUAGAUGGAAGAUACUGUUUAGGAGAGUAAAUGUAAGAGGCAACAAACCGAAACUAUCUUUGGAAAAUCAUUUUUCAUGUCUCUAGCCUUACAUGUGACAGUAAAAUGGACAUCAGUCUGUUACAGGAGAUAAUUGCUUUUUGAAAUGGCAAAGAAACUGGGGAGAAAAACAUUUUAAUAGGUGUAGCUGUCUAAAAAAAAAAAAAGAUUUUAUUUUGUUAAUUUGAGUUGCAUUUAAUUUUAUGUCUCAUUGCUGACCCCUUGUGGUUAACUGAAAAAACUGACUGUGCAUGCGCUGUCCACGCGUUGGAUCAUAAUGAGCCAGGUGUCGCAGCAUUAGCAUAACGAAAAAAGAACACAGAGAACACGCUGGACGAAGACGGAACGGAGCACGGUGGAAAGACUGAAAAUGGACGAGCAACUCCUUAAAAUGUGAUCAGAGGGCACACGUUUUUCACGGUGAUUCCUUGGUGAUUCUUUGACGAUUCUGUGGUUACGUAAAAAAUAAAUGACCAAAAGAUCAUCAGUCGGAGCGUGGCUUUUUCCUGAUCGGAUUGAAAAACUUAAGGAGCAGCUACAGUGAAAAACGUGACCUGUCGGUGCCACGUGGGAAGCCUACGGGAGUCUUCGUUGUCGCCAUUGGAAAAGGCCUGCAGCAGCGGUGAAGCUGAAGAGCGCAGCCACAUCAAUGGAGACGAAUAAGGACUGAACUUCUCAGCACAGUGCAUUCUGUGUCUAACAGGUCAGACUGUCAUCAGAGUUGGUAAAGGACGGUAAAGAAAAAAGUUUAAAAAGAAGAAAAAAAAAA